Molecule: non-coding RNA, 914 nt
Organism: Cinara cedri
Lineage: Eukaryota; Metazoa; Arthropoda; Insecta; Hemiptera; Aphididae
Source: the annotation of a GenBank genome assembly
AAAUAAUAAAAACUUAAUAAUAACAAAAAUAAAUAUAAACGGUCGCGAAUGACGACCGUUUUUAAUCUUUCAAUCUUUUUUAACCUAAAGAACCAGGUUUUCUUCAUUAUCUCGAAUAUUAAUGAGAAUUUCAACAAAUGACCUUUUUAAAAUACCAACAGAGAACAUUUACUUUUAAAAAAGAUGCCAUAAUUGAUAAUCGAAGUAGGCUUUCUGGUAGAAAAAGUGUUCAUAUAAUAAAAAAAAUAAACAUCACCGUAAAACCAAUACAUUGCCGCUACGAUCCGAACUUUUGCUAAUAAAUCAACGUGAUUUUUUCAAGAAAUCGGUAGCAACCGAUGAAUACAAUUUAAAUCUGGAACAAUAAUAUUGUCAGAAGCCUGUGUAGCAUGCAAAAAGUCGAAAACUCGUUCGGAUCGACCUGAAAAACAAACUACAAACACUCGCGUGUACACCAGUAAUUAUAACCGUGCCAAGUAUAAUUAUUAUUCUCACCUCCCGAAUCCCCGAGAUUCGAUCUCUAAGAAAAAAAAAAAAAUCAAAAUACAUUAUACGCGACGAAGAUGAUGCGCUGACGGUGCAAAAGUUCUCAAUCACGACGAUGGCGACGUUCGCUGGCCGAGGUCAAGUCGAUUUAUUAUCAUUAUACUAUACAAUAAAAAGGUGACGGUCGUGAUGACCUUCCUUCCUUCCCUCCGAAAAAACUCUGUUGAAAAAUAUAUUGAUGUGGUUCGUGGUUCGAAGGAAAAUAAAUGAUCAAAUAAAAAAAAAAUUACUACCGAUGUGCUACUAUUGUAGUUGAAAAGUUAGACGAGUAAGAAACGCGGUGUUAAUGAGUUUAUGUAUCUGUAUCGCAGAGAUAACAUGAAAAAUGUUGAAUUCCGAAAGAAGACCAAUUGAAAUGAAACGCCGUG